Adelges cooleyi (spruce gall adelgid) is the source of this 960-nucleotide long non-coding RNA. RefSeq lists it as uncharacterized. The record is from RefSeq and is a predicted model, not a curated record. NCBI's taxonomy places the organism in Eukaryota, Metazoa, Arthropoda, Insecta, Hemiptera, Adelgidae. The transcript has 4 exons.
CGGUCCUCGGCUAGUGUCUCUUUCAGCGGUCGACCAUUAUUUAUUAAAAUAUUGAGUGUAUCUUUGAAUUUUUUUAUUUUUUAUUUUUGAAAUUUAUCCAAAGAUCAAGACGUGCAAUUUUUCUCAGUGUGGGCUCGUUUACGGUUUGUCGCCGAAACGCUGUAAUCGUGUAUACUAUAAUGUCUACCAAUAUUGGUACUCGUCGUGUGAACACACACACACGGUCGACUGUUAUCGAUGCUCAUCUCUGGCGAAAAGUGAAAACCGCCGGCACAAGCGACAGAACACAUGUGGUGCCGAAUUACAUCAACUACAUAAAAAAAAUAAAUCUUCAUUAAACCGGCGAUGGCGAUGAUUUAAUAGCUGUUCAUAAAUGUUUUGGCGACCGCAUUUCUUAAAAAUAUUCAAUAGAAGAAAAAAAGGAGAACCACUAUUACCUGGAUUUGAUGAUGCCAAAUGGAACAACUUGGAACACAGUUAUUGUUUGUGAAGUCAGAUGAAUUUGUGUAGUAUUUUCAUUUGAGUAAGGUGGUAAUGCAACACCAAGAGGGGAUUGCAGUGGUGGUUCUCUUGUGGGAGACAACAUCCGCUGUGACCAGAUUAAACAAGUUAUCCUCUAAAAAACAGGUAUACAUUUUAGUGGGCUUAAUAUGUUCUAAUGUUUUGGUUUCAUUAUGUAUUCUAUUGAUCUAUAGUAUACUUAUUGUUUAAUAGUAAAUAUUUUAAAGUCCAUGGGCCUAACGUGUAUAGUAAGCACGCAUUCGGUUUUCGAAACGCCAUUAGUACAUUGCCUAUGAAAAAAUUUAACGUGUGUACGACACACGUUAGAUGUAAAACGAGCCGUAGACACAAAGUAAUAUGUACCUACAAAUACUUUUAUGUUUUACACAUCUAAUUUAAAUACCAUUCUAAAUGUAUUUAAAUGCCAUUUGUGAUUUGGUCAAAUUUGCUUAAAACGCA